Brienomyrus brachyistius is the source of this 297-nucleotide long non-coding RNA. RefSeq lists it as uncharacterized. The transcript has 3 exons. The record is from RefSeq and is a predicted model, not a curated record. NCBI's taxonomy places the organism in Eukaryota, Metazoa, Chordata, Actinopteri, Osteoglossiformes, Mormyridae.
GCACUGGGAGGCGGACUGGACUUGUAUAACAGGAAUGCAGCAGAGUGAUCACCUGUGGGUGAGGAACACAUCUAUGAUCUCCAGAGAGGUUUUUUCAAAACCAACAUGGAUGAUGAUGCCACCCAAUCGAAAAUUAUCCCACAUUAAAUCAAGGAUAUUCACUAUGGAACUUAAGAUCAGCCUCAUCGUCUUCAUUCCCAUGAUGGACUCUACCUUCCCGGCUGCCCCUUCCUCGCUCAGGCUUUUGACCAGCACCCCGGAUUUGGUGUCUUCCUCGCUGAUGGCGAUGCCCAGUCC